This 500-nucleotide ribosomal RNA is filed under the name uncultured Paraglomus. Its description in RNAcentral is "bacterial SSU rRNA". It matches the Rfam family "Eukaryotic small subunit ribosomal RNA", at positions 591 to 1092 of the family's 1831-position model. Lineage: Eukaryota; Fungi; Glomeromycota; Glomeromycetes; Paraglomerales; Paraglomeraceae. The record is from RNAcentral.
CCAAUAGCGUAUAUUAAAGUUGUUGCAGUUAAAAAGCUCGUAGUUGAACUUCAGGCCUGUCCAGAUGGUCCGCCUUAAUUGGUGUGUACUGUCCUUGGGUGGGUCCUACCUUCUGGCGAAGCGGCAUGGCCUUAGUUGGUUGUGUCGGGGAAGCAGGACUUUUACUGUGAAAAAAUUAGAGUGUUCAAAGCAGGCAUAUAUGCUCGAAUACAUUAGCAUGGAAUAAUGGAAUAGGACGAUGGUUCUAUUUUGUUGGUUCUAGGACCGUUGUAAUGAUUAAUAGGGAUAGUUGGGGGCAUUAGUAUUCAAUUGUCAGAGGUGAAAUUCUUGGAUUUAUUGAAGACUAACUACUGCGAAAGCAUUUGCCAAGGAUGUUUUCAUUAAUCAAGAACGAAAGUUAGGGGAUCGAAGACGAUCAGAUACCGUCGUAGUCUUAACCAUAAACUAUGCCGACUAGGAAUCGGGCGAUGUUGACAAAAUGACUCGCUCGGCACCUCAUG